UCAUCCAUUCCAGGUUGGAGACUGUAAAUAUAUACAAUGACACGGAGCCCAGACACUCGAGCCUUGCUGGAAAGGACCGUACCUGGUGCUGCUGACCACCCUGACAGCCGUCAAUUCUCAGCCCUCACCAGCCGCAUACUAGCUGUUGGGGCUGAGAGUUGGGACCUAGAGGGACACUCAGAUCUUCAAAAAAGCUCCCUAGACUUACACAUCAGAUAAGUGACUGGGAGGUUGUUAUAAUGCUCACUUGAGGAGUGUGCUUUAGAAACAAGAAUUUCAUGUUUGCCCUGGGUUCCAUCGAGAAAAAUAUAGAGAUAGGCUUGAUUUCUAUUACAAAUGAUGUAACAUUACAUAUGUUAAUACUCCUAACACUUCUUGGGACUGUGCCUCAGGGACCAUAAGUUUAAAAGUUCUAAGAUAGUCAUGACCUUGGUGUAUAGGUUUAGAUAGUGUUCAGAUUAGAAUCCUAAAGACUUUUUAGCUGACCUCCAAGAAUACCUAACCUCCCUCUCAGAGGUAGUCCUUCAAAAUAGGAGAAGAUUAGACCUGAUAUUCCUUAAAGAAAGAGGGCUAUGUGCUGCUUUGAGAGAAGAAUGUUGUUUUUACCUCGAUCACUCCAUUA
This 622-nucleotide long non-coding RNA is filed under the name Rattus norvegicus (Norway rat). RNAcentral's name for it is "long non-coding RNA NONRATT022382". Lineage: Eukaryota; Metazoa; Chordata; Mammalia; Rodentia; Muridae. The record is from RNAcentral.